GUGCUUGCUUUGACAGCACAUAUACUAAAAUUGGAAUGAUACAGAGAUUAGCAUGGCCCCUGUGCAAGGAUGGCACACAAAUUCAUGAAGCAAAGAAACAGAGAUUC
Octodon degus (degu) is the source of this 107-nucleotide small nuclear RNA. The record is from Ensembl. NCBI's taxonomy places the organism in Eukaryota, Metazoa, Chordata, Mammalia, Rodentia, Octodontidae.